This 1069-nucleotide long non-coding RNA is filed under the name Helianthus annuus (common sunflower). RNAcentral's name for it is "hypothetical non coding rna". Lineage: Eukaryota; Viridiplantae; Streptophyta; Magnoliopsida; Asterales; Asteraceae. The record is from RNAcentral.
AUGUGCGUGUGGGGUCUGUCGCAACGUGGGAGUCAGAGAUCGAUUUAGUUAUUUUUUCUCGGUUUUACACACAGGCUCGUGGUCCUGUGAGAAACAUUUGCCUUUUAUCUAAAAUAUAAUAAUAAGUAGUUUCUAAUUAUAAAUAUACUAUUUUAAACAUUAGUUAUAGAAAUAAUAAGUUUUUUCGGACUCACGAGGCUACUCAAGCUCAAUAAGUGAAGUUCGGGAUCGUAUAAACUCGACUCGUUUCAAGCUUUUAGGUAGCACCCUCGAGCAUAGUUGUAAAACAAUGUUUCCAAGUCCGAGUAAUUGCUCCAAGGUAGGCUGUCGAGACGACUUUUUGCAUCCCGGCCUAAUUACUCGGAAUCGAUCAAACGCGACCAGCCUCGACUAGAAUCGGAUCUCGUAGGUCAACUAAGGCCGAGUUUGAUUUAAAAAAAAAACAUAAUUUCUAUGCCGAUCAUAUUAAAGAAUGAAUAUCGUUUCACAUAUUUUGUUAUAAUUAUUAAUAAAUUUAUAUUCUUUGACAUAUAUUUAGUUUCCGAAAACUAUUUCUUUAUAAUUUCGUAUGUCUGAGUACUCCCCGAAUACUCUCAAUUCCCUACUCGACCGACUAAGGAGCGUCUAGCGACUUUUAAAACCAUGCCCUCGAGUAGCUUACGAGGGGCUUGAAUAAUUUAGCGGUAAGCAACAUUUAACCAAUUAAGAAAUUUGGAACCAAAAAGUAUGAUAAACAAUUUUUCUUGACUAAAUACAAACAAUUUUUCUUCACUUACAUAAACAUUUAACCAAUUAAGAAAUUUGGAACCAAAAAGUAUAAUAAAAAAACUUGAGUGACACCACCUUGUGGUUUGGUGAAAACUCUUGUAUAGCUUAAGAAUUUUGUGGGUCAACCCUGAAAAUCAAAAGGAAGAAGAAGAAGAAGAAGAAACUAUAUUAGAUUUCCAAAAGACAAAUAAACAUCAAUUGUUUUAAGGUAAGGUAACAAGGAUCAAAGCUUACCUUAAGUUUGAUCCGAGUUUCGCUUUGAGGCUGCUUGGAACCUGACCCGUCAAAUUAUUGCUUUGCA